RNAcentral lists this transfer RNA (85 nucleotides) under Endozoicomonas sp. (ex Bugula neritina AB1). RNAcentral describes it as "tRNA-Leu". It matches the Rfam family "tRNA". Rfam says of the family: Transfer RNA (tRNA) molecules are approximately 80 nucleotides in length. The record is from RNAcentral. Lineage: Bacteria; Pseudomonadati; Pseudomonadota; Gammaproteobacteria; Oceanospirillales; Endozoicomonadaceae. RNAcentral also lists the same sequence under 2 other names.
GCGGAUGUGGUGGAAUUGGUAGACACGCUGGUUUUAGGUACCAGUGUCGCAAGACGUGAGAGUUCGAGUCUCUCCAUCCGCACCA